RNAcentral lists this ribosomal RNA (253 nucleotides) under uncultured bacterium. RNAcentral describes it as "partial 16S ribosomal RNA". It matches the Rfam family "Bacterial small subunit ribosomal RNA", at positions 524 to 776 of the family's 1533-position model. The record is from RNAcentral.
UACGGGGGGGGCAAGCGUUGUUCGGAAUUACUGGGCGUAAAGGGCUCGUAGGCGGCCAACUAAGUCAGACGUGAAAUCCCUCGGCUUAACCGGGGAACUGCGUCUGAUACUGGAUGGCUUGAGGUUGGGAGAGGGAUGCGGAAUUCCAGGUGUAGCGGUGAAAUGCGUAGAUAUCGUAAGGAAGACCAGUGGCGAAGGCGGGUCUCUGGACAGUUCCUGACGCUGAGGCACGAAGGUCAGGGGAGCAAACGGG